This is a long non-coding RNA of Venturia canescens, 1626 nucleotides long. RefSeq lists it as uncharacterized. Lineage: Eukaryota; Metazoa; Arthropoda; Insecta; Hymenoptera; Ichneumonidae. The record is from RefSeq and is a predicted model, not a curated record. The transcript is spliced from 2 exons.
CUUCGAGCGAUUCACGUUUGUACGUGCUAGUGAUUUUACUGACUACUUGGUCCCAUCAACUUUGUGUGAUCGCAGUUACAAAAGACCGACUCACCUGCUGGCUUACGGAAUAAAGUCACAUUAGUGUGUGCAUUUACACAGAGUUUAAAAAAACCUUCGAUGACCAAUCAUAUCCCACUGUGAAAAAGCUUGGUCUUCAGUUUAUCUUUUUGUCGUUUGAACCGAAAAUAUCGGAUCAUCUCCAAAAUAAAUAUUAGAUCAUCAGUGACAUCGAUAUAAGAUUCCAAAUACAAGUGGCUCUCAUCCAAUAGGCUCAGAGAGAAAAGGAAAAACAGCCGAGCAGAACCAAUCGAUCUUGGUUGUCAAUAUUCAGAUACGAAUAAAACACUGUAAUAGAAGGUGAUAAUCGAAAUGGCAUCUGGUCGUACUUUCGAUUUAGUGUAUUUUCGCAUUAUAUUAUCGGAAAGUGGCGAGAACGGAGACAUCAUUAGUAUUGCAGCGAAACACGGAGAUAGAACAUUCAGCGUUUGGAUCCGCCCUUCAAAACCGGUUCCGUCGACUGCACGGCCAAUUAAAUAUGGAUUACGUCUUAGAUAUUUAGACUGGUUUUUUCAGGGUAAGAAGCUACGGACUGUGAACUUGGACAUGGCGUUAGAUGAGUUUGUGUCAUUUCUCAUGGAAUCACCACGAAAAGUUAUACUUGUUGGCUAUUUUGCGUAUUUUCCAAUCAUUCACCUGAUGCGAGCCAUUCAAAAAACUGAGAUGAUCGAUUCGUUUAAUGCUAUUAUUGGCGGUGUUGUAGAUGCUGUCAAACCUCUAUCUAAAAAAUUUACAAAUCGCAGGAGAGUCCAACAAUACUCAUUACCAGUUUUAUGUCGAGAUUUUUUGUAUGCGGAGUAUGUUGGCCACUGGCUCGAUUCAAUUUAUGCUCUGAGUGUUUUGGAAAACCUUGUAUCAAAAGAGAUAUCAACUGAAAAUUUAUUCCAAGCCGUUGUACCUUUUAGGAAGAUCAAUCCAUUUUUUUUGGAAUUUAAUCCUUUAGCACGUAUUAGUCCAGGUGCUACAUAAUCUGGUGGCGAAUCAGAAUGAAUAUUCGAAAUAACUUAAUUAAAGGAUUUUCUAUUGUAUUUGUGACUUAUUUGUCAGGAUUUUUUCUUUAUUAAUCCAGAAUGCAUUAAAAAGAAUCAGAAGAUCAGAAUUGUUGAAGAUGACAUAUGCAAAUCCCAAAUUAUUCAAUCGUCUGAUUAAUACCUAUUUCUCGAAUUGUUCUCGAUUUCGCUCGCGAUUUCGUAAGGACGUCAAAAACAGAAAAUUUUUUUGCAAAGUGAUUUCUUCAAUCGAAUAUUCUUCUGAAUUUUGAGAAAACGGCCAUUAUUCCACUAUCUUUAAAGUUUACUAUUAUUUUAGGCCUAAAACAGCCGAAACUCACUCAGUUAAAAUAUAGCCGCCUGUAUAUGUCGGCUUUUCCAUAGUUUCUCUUGGUCCUCGUCGUGUUAAGGCAAGAAGGAUUAAGAAAAAGGAGUGGGCUCCUAGAAAAGGUCCAAAGGUGUACGCUAAGUUGAUAAUCAAAUUGCUUUGUCUUGAACCCUCAUUUUAAUAUUGUUGAUGAAUAAAAAUUUAAUCUUA